CUCCUUUUUGAGUUGCUCAAGAGUUUGUGACCAAUUUCCAUAUUUUGGAAAAGUUUGGAUGUGUUUGUGUAAUAGAGGAAAAGCAGAUUCAACAUGCUGGAAGAGCAACUCAAGUGGGGGAAGGGCAAAAGGGUGGAGAAUUCCAGAGAAGGAACAGAAGAGCUGAGAAGAUCCAAGCAGUUACUUCACUUCUCUUUGGGAACUCCUUAAGAGAGGUUGGUCUGAGAGAACCUCUGAGCUCAAUCAUCCUUCUGUGAAUCCAGAUCCCCUGAAACCAGUGGAAAAUAACAGGAGUGGAUAGGACUUUAUCAUAAAGCCAUCCACUCAAGGAAGAUUUCCUUUCUAUACCUCUAAAAAGGAGUUUUUAAAAUACUGAAUGAUGCCUAUGUCAAGUUCAUCAUCUAUGGGUACAUCCCUGGAAAGUAUAUUGCCAAGUUGCCAAGAGCCAAACAAUGACGAUAAGGUAAAGGACCCUCAUGGUGAUACUCAGUGUAACCUCAGUGGACCUGGACAGAAGAGAUGCAAUGCACGGGUGGACCAGAGGCUCCUUCAGCCACUGUCCAGCUCUUCUCAAUGCAGGCUCUCUGCCUAGACACACCCAUCGCUCAUGUGCUCUCAGCUGUUGUCUAACCAUUAAGAGAGCUUCUGUUGUCUGGAAUUCUGAGACUCAGAGGUGCUUCUUCGAUAAGUCACAAAUGAGAAUGAGUCAUGGAAGCUGGGAUUUUGUUCUGGUUCUGCUGUUUACCACCCACAGGUAUAACUAUAAUUCUCCCGCCUCUUUUGAGGAUGAAAAUGUGAGGGAGAAAAGUUGGGCACUAGGAAGAAGACAUUUGCAAAAGAACUGUGCAAUGCAAACUUUCAAGUGAUUGACAGAGAGUCACAUGGGAGCCUAAGGGUCAAGAUCUGGGUAAAGGUUCUAGGGUUCCAACCGAAACUUCACUUCACUCCUGAAGGACCUUGGAUUGGAGGUUUUACAUCAGGUUUCUGGCUUUUGUGAUACCAGCUGAAGAGAGAGGAAUCCCGCUUGGACUGGCUGCUGGCAGCUAGAACAGAGGACUAAAGACUCACUUCUCCACUGGACCUGAUUUGGACAGUUUUCAUCUGAAGAUCCUGGCCCACUGACUGGACUCCUUUUGUGAGAUUUUGUGUUGGGGAAACUUAAUGUUUUUAUCUUAGAUAAGUUAGGGUAAGAUAGGCUUAUAGAAAUUAGGGUUUAAUUGUAAUAAUUUUCCUUACCCUUUUUCCUUUCCCUUUCCCAAAAAUAAACCCGAUUUUUAUAUGUUUCUUUCUUGUUCU
This 1296-nucleotide long non-coding RNA is filed under the name Monodelphis domestica (gray short-tailed opossum). RNAcentral's name for it is "lncRNA (ENSMODG00000051517.1)". The record is from RNAcentral. Lineage: Eukaryota; Metazoa; Chordata; Mammalia; Didelphimorphia; Didelphidae.